RNAcentral lists this long non-coding RNA (376 nucleotides) under Homo sapiens (human). Its description in RNAcentral is "non-protein coding lnc-SLC25A32-7:1". Lineage: Eukaryota; Metazoa; Chordata; Mammalia; Primates; Hominidae. The record is from RNAcentral.
GAUCAGCUCAUGCAGCUGUAAGACACCAUGAACUCGCUUUCAGAUCAGUUUUGCAAUGCCACUGAUGUGUUGCAGCAAUGUGGUCUUCCUGCCUCUUUUAAUAAUAUUCAGACAGCAAUUAACAAAGACCAGCCAGCUAACCCUACAGAAGAAUAUGCUCAGCUUCUUAUAGCACUGAUUGCACAAACAGCAAAAGACAUUCAUGUUUUGAUAGAUUCCUUACCCAGUGAAGAAUCUACAGCUGCUUUAUAGGCUACUCCCUUAUGUAAGCUAGAAGAACAAAACCAUGAAGCUGCUACAUAUUGUUUAUCUAGGGAAAUGCUUCUAGAAAAGAUACAAAGUGCACUUGCUGAUAUUGCACAGUCACAACUGAUCA